RNAcentral lists this unclassified non-coding RNA (530 nucleotides) under Hevea brasiliensis (rubber tree). The record is from RNAcentral. Lineage: Eukaryota; Viridiplantae; Streptophyta; Magnoliopsida; Malpighiales; Euphorbiaceae.
UCUCUCUCUCUCUCCCUCUCUCUAUAUAUAUAUAUAUAUUGUUCUCUUGAUUUGGUUGUGUUAUUUUCAUUUGUUGGGCAUGAUACAGCUGCUUUUGUUCUCUCCAUUAUAAGAGUUUCAUCUUGAUAAUCUUUUUCAGAGUCAUGUGAAGAAAUGGUUUAUCUUUUUCAUAGUGAGACUGCUAUGAGCUAUUUUUUGGUUUCGCAGUCAAAUCAAAUUGAAGUACAGUUACUUUGGAUCUUUAUGUUCAAAAGUAAAGGUGGAAUAUCCAUUGUACAGCAAAGAGACAUUGUAUCCUGAAUAAGUAACAACAUUGACUUGCUCAAACUCAGGAAAAAUUGAUUCAACAUAUGCUUUAAUUAACAUUUACAGUAGUAUGGUUCUUUCAUUCACUUGAAUCUCAACUGUCUUGUUCUUACAAUAAAUCAUUAAUAGCACGAGAGUUGUUUAAGUGGUUCCAAGCUCAACUCAAAAGAAGUUUACGGUGCUAUUAAUGCUGCCUUUUGAAGGUGAAAGCUGAAGAGUUGACA